UGCAAGUUGAGCGAAGCUUUUUGGUAGUUUACUACUAGAAAUGACUGAGCGGCGAACGGGUGAGUAACGCGUGAGCAAUCUACCUUAGUUACUGGGAUAGCCCGAGGAAACUCGGAUUAAUACCGGAUAUUCUUAUUUUUUCACAUGAAGUUUUAAGGAAAGGUCAGCCGAACUAAGAUGAGCUCGCGUUCUAUCAGCUAGUUGGUGGGGUAAAAGCCUACCAAGGCUACGACGGAUAGCUGGACUGAGAGGACGAUCAGCCACACUGGGACUGAGACACGGCCCAGACUCCUACGGGAGGCUGCAGCAGGGAAUAUUGUGCAAUGAGCGAAAGCUUGACACAGCGACACCGCGUGUGGGAUGACGGUUCUAGGAUUGUAAACCACUUUCAGGAGGGAAGAAAAUGACGGUACCUCCACAAGAAGACCCGGCCAACUAUGUGCCAGCAGCCGCGGUAAUACAUAGGGGUCAAGCGUUGUCCGGAUUUAUUGGGCGUAAAGAGCUCGUAGGCGGUUCAACAAGUCGGUCGUAAAAGUUUAGGGCUCAACCCUAAAAUGUCGAUCGAUACUGCUGUGACUAGGAUACGGUAGAGGUGAAUGGAAUUCCGAGUGUAGCGGUGAAAUGCGUAGAUAUUCGGAGGAACACCAAUUGCGAAGGCAGUUCACUGGACCGUGAUCGACGCUGAGGAGCGAAAGCUAGGGGAGCAAACAGGAUUAGAUACCCUGGUAGUCCUAGCUGUAAACGAUGGAUACUAGAUGUAGGAACUGGAUUGACGGUUUCUGUAUCGUAGCUAACGCGUUAAGUAUCCCGCCUGGGGAGUAC
RNAcentral lists this ribosomal RNA (822 nucleotides) under uncultured marine bacterium. RNAcentral describes it as "bacterial SSU rRNA". It matches the Rfam family "Bacterial small subunit ribosomal RNA", at positions 56 to 883 of the family's 1533-position model. The record is from RNAcentral.